AGUUUGCAGGCAUGUAUGUAAGCGUGUUAAUUAUGCAUUAUUUAUAGUGCGAGUGAGAAGUGAGAACCCCACUAUGUGUCAGAAAUAUCAAUUCAUGCAACACUCUCUUCUCUAUAACUCCUCCGAAUGCCAUCACUUAUCUUCUUUCUCUUCCAAUGGAGCUGCAAUUGAAGAAAACCGCCCUUUCAAGAAGCUGGAUUUUGCUCCACAAGGAUGGCACAGGCACCAUCCUGGAUGUGGACAAGUAUGCUAUCAUGCGCAUGGUUGAGAUUCACGCUAGGGACCUUCGAAUUCUCGACCCUCUCCUCUCAUAUCCUUCGGCCAUUCUCGGCAGAGAGAAAGUCAUUGUUCUCAAUUUAGAGCACAUAAAGGCUAUUAUCACUGCACAAGAGGUGCUUCUUAGGGAUCCAAUGGACGAUGAUAUUGUGCCGAUUGUUGAAGAACUUCGAAGACGGUUACCCAAAUCCACUGGGGAUGAAGAACCGUCUGCUCAAGACCGUGAAGCAGGUGGAGAAGGGGAAGAUAACGAAUUUCCGUUUGAGUUCCGAGCAUUGGAAGUUGCAUUGGAAGCAAUAUGCAGUUUCCUUGAUGCAAGAACAAUCGAGUUAGAGACUGCUGCUUAUCCAGCUUUGGAUGAACUCACAUCUCAGAUUAGCAGUCGUAAUUUGGAUAGAGUGCGGAAACUGAAGAGUGCAAUGACAAGGUUGACUAAUCGAGUUCAGAAGAUAAGAGAUGAACUAGAAAACCUACUUGAUGAUGAUGAUGACAUGGCUGAUCUUUACUUAUCAAAAAAGUUGGCUAAUUUAUCUUCUCCUGCAAGUAGUUUUGGUGCUCCAAACUGGCUUCUUAGCUCUCCAAAUCCAGAUUCAAAGAUUCACAGAUCAAGCAAAGCGAGUACAGCAACUUCAGUUCAAGUGGAGAAUGAUGUUGAGGAUCUUGAAAUGUUACUUGAGGCAUAUUUCACGCAAAUCGAAGGCACAUUGAAUAAACUGAACACAUUGCGUGAAUAUAUUGAUGACACAGAAGAUUAUAUCAACAUACAGCUUGACAGUCACAGAAAUCAACUGAUUCAGUGAAAAACUUGUUGCUAUAUGAAGGCCAUGAUUAUCUUCUUAAUGUGUCUAAAUACCAAGGGUAUUGUUUAUGCUUAUUAAUUUCUUGACAGCUAGAGUUGUUCCUUAGCUCGGGGACUGUGUGUCUGUCCAUAUAUUCAUUGGUAGGAGCAAUAUUUGGUAUGAACAUUCCAUAUACAUGGAAAGAUGGUCACGGAUACAUGUUUAAAUGGGUGGUGAUGCUUGGGGGAAUGGUUAGUGCAUCGUUGUUUUUAAGCAUAGUAACUUAUGCCCGACGCAAAGGCCUUGUGGGGUCUUGAAACGCAUAGAGAUUCGUUCAUGUUGGAAGCUGAAAUCCAUGCGUGCACCCAAACAAUUUUUUGUAUCAUGUCAUCCAAGUAAUUGUUCAAUCUUCUCUCUCUCUCUCAAAAGCUGCUAGCUAUCUAGCAAGUGGGGACUUAUUUUAUUUUAUUUUUUUUAUUGGAGCAAUUGACAAGUUGUAUAUGAUUGUUGAUGAAUUAGCAAUUAAAUUAGAUAAAGUGCAGUCCAAUCUAAUAAGAGUAUAUAUUUUACCUA
Molecule: RNA transcript, 1628 nt
Organism: Arachis stenosperma
Lineage: Eukaryota; Viridiplantae; Streptophyta; Magnoliopsida; Fabales; Fabaceae
Gene name: magnesium transporter MRS2-I-like
Exons: 11
Source: RefSeq, a predicted model, not a curated record